CUGGGAGCACUGGGAGGGGGCACUGGGGUUACUGGGAGCACUGGGAGUUACUGGGAGCUAACGGGGUGCCUGGUGUGCAUUGUUAGUGGUUUAUACUGGUUUAUACUGGUUUAUACUGGUUUAUAGGAAUCUAUACUGGUUUAUACCGGUCUGUACUGGUCUAUACCGGUUUAUACUGGUUUGUACUGGUCUGUACUGGUCUGUACUGGUUUAUACUGGUCUAUACCGGUUUAUACCAGUUUAUACUCGUUUACACUGGUUUAUACUGGUUUAUACCGGUCUAUACUGGUCUAUACUGGUCUGUACUGGUUUAUACUGGUUUAUACUGGUUUGGACUGGUUUAUACUGGUUUAUACUGGUUUGUACUGGUUUAUACUGGUUUGGACUGGUUUAUACUGGUUUGUACUGGUUUGUACUGGUUUAUACUGGUUUGUACUGGUUUGGACUGGUUUGUACUGGUUUAUACUGGUUUGGACUGGUUUGGACUGGUUUAGACUGGUUUGGACUGGUUUAUACUGGUUUGGACUGGUUUGGACUGGUUUAUACUGGUUUACACUGGUUUAUACUGGUUUAGACUGGUUUGGACUGGUUUGGACUGGUUUAUACGGGUCCAUACCGGUCCAUACUGGUUUAUACUGGUCCAUACUGGUCCAUACUGGUCCAUACUGGUCCAUACUGGUUUAUACUGGUCCAUACUGGUCCAUACUGGUCCAUACUGGUCCAUACUGGUCCAUACUGGUUUAUACUGGUCCAUACUGGUUCAUACUGGUUUAUACUGGUCCAUACUGGUCCAUACUGGUCCGUACUGGUUUAUACUGGUCUGUACUGGUUUAUACUGGUCCAUACUGGUCCAUACUGGUUUAUACUGGUCCAUACUGGUCCAUACUGGUCCAUACUGGUUUAUACUGGUCCAUACUGGUCCAUACCGGUCCAUACUGGUCCAUACUGGUCCAUACUGGUUUAUACUGGUCCAUACUGGUUUCCCAGGUGCUGCCGCUGGUGCUGGGGGCGCUGCCCCUGCAGGAGGAUCUGGAGGAGGAGGGGCCAGUGCUGAACUUCCUGUUGGGGGCGGGGCCUGAGCGGCUCCUCCCCCACCUCCCCGAGCUCGUCCGCGGCGUCGGCCCCGCCCUGGCCCUGAACCGGCUGCAACCGGCUCUCAGCCAAUCCCUGCUCGAGCUGCUGCGGGAAAUGGGCGUGGCCGACCCUCAGCGCUUCCGGGUGGGCGUGGCCUCGCUGGACCCCGCCCACGCCGCCAUCUUGGUUCAGCUGUUGGAUGACGUCAUCAGCGACCAAUAA
Molecule: long non-coding RNA, 1296 nt
Filed under: Cyanistes caeruleus (blue tit)
Lineage: Eukaryota; Metazoa; Chordata; Aves; Passeriformes; Paridae
Description: lncRNA (ENSCCEG00000014390.1)
Source: RNAcentral